UAAUACGAAGGGGGCUAGCGUUGUUCGGAAUUACUGGGCGUAAAGGGCGCGUAGGCUGUGCUGUAAGUCAGGCGUGAAAGGCCCGGGCUCAACCUGGGAACUGCGUUUGAUACUGCGGCGCUGGAAGGCAGGAGAGGAUGGCGGAAUUCCCAGUGUAGAGGUGAAAUUCGUAGAUAUUGGGAAGAACACCGGUGGCGAAGGCGGCCAUCUGGCCUGCAAUUGACGCUGAGGCGCGAAAGCGUGGGGAGCAAACAGGAUUAGAUACCCUGGUAGUCCACGCUGUAAACGAUGAGUGCUAGACGUCGGGGAGCUUGCUCUUCGGUGUCGCCGCUAACGCAUUAAGCACUCCGCCUGGGGAGUACGGUCGCAAGAUU
Molecule: ribosomal RNA, 374 nt
Filed under: uncultured bacterium
Lineage: Bacteria
Description: bacterial SSU rRNA
Rfam family: Bacterial small subunit ribosomal RNA
Source: RNAcentral